ACGAACGCUGGCGGCGUGCUUAACACAUGCAAGUCGAACGGAAAGGCCCCUUCGGGGGUACUCGAGUGGCGAACGGGUGAGUAACACGUGAGUAACCUGCCCUUGACUUCGGGAUAACUUCAGGAAACUGGGGCUAAUACCGGAUAGGAAUCCUUGCUGCAUGGUGGGGGUUGGAAAGCUUCGGCGGUUUUGGAUGGACUCGCGGCUUAUCAGCUUGUUGGUGGGGUAGUGGCUUACCAAGGCUUUGACGGGUAGCCGGCCUGAGAGGGCGACCGGCCACAUUGGGACUGAGAUACGGCCCAGACUCCUACGGGAGGCAGCGGUGGGGAAUAUUGCACAAUGGGCGGAAGCCUGAUGCAGCAACGCCGCGUGCGGGAUGACGGCCUUCGGGUUGUAAACCGCUUUCAGCAGGGGCGAAGCUUGUGGUGACGGUACCUGCAGAAGAAGCACCGGCUAACUACGUG
RNAcentral lists this ribosomal RNA (464 nucleotides) under uncultured bacterium. Its description in RNAcentral is "partial 16S ribosomal RNA". It matches the Rfam family "Bacterial small subunit ribosomal RNA", at positions 29 to 507 of the family's 1533-position model. The record is from RNAcentral.